RNAcentral lists this microRNA precursor (126 nucleotides) under Salvia sclarea (clary). Its description in RNAcentral is "miR828 stem-loop (ssl-MIR828)". Its record names the gene ssl-MIR828. Lineage: Eukaryota; Viridiplantae; Streptophyta; Magnoliopsida; Lamiales; Lamiaceae. The record is from miRBase by way of RNAcentral.
UCUUGCUCAAAUGAGUAUUCCAAAGAGAUGCAGAAUGCUAUGGUUUGUUAAUCCGUAGAAUAUUCUUGUGUUUCUGUGUAUCAGUUUGGAAGUGCAUCUGCUUCUGAGAUGCUCAUUUGGGCAAAG